Molecule: transfer RNA, 89 nt
Filed under: Medicago truncatula (barrel medic)
Lineage: Eukaryota; Viridiplantae; Streptophyta; Magnoliopsida; Fabales; Fabaceae
Rfam family: tRNA
About the family: Transfer RNA (tRNA) molecules are approximately 80 nucleotides in length.
Source: Rfam by way of RNAcentral
GGAGAGAUGGCUGAGUGGUUGAUAGCUCCGGUCUUGAAAACUGUUAUAGUUCGAAAUAACUAUCAAGGGUUCGAAUCCCCCUCUCUCCU